This 269-nucleotide small nuclear RNA is filed under the name Cebus imitator (Panamanian white-faced capuchin). Its description in RNAcentral is "7SK RNA (ENSCCAG00000015299.1)". It matches the Rfam family "7SK RNA", at positions 1 to 284 of the family's 331-position model. Rfam says of the family: 7SK was discovered as an abundant small nuclear RNA in the mid-70s but a possible function has only recently been suggested. Lineage: Eukaryota; Metazoa; Chordata; Mammalia; Primates; Cebidae. The record is from Rfam by way of RNAcentral.
GGGUGUGAGGGCGAGCUGGCUGCCACGUCUGCCACCCCAACUGAUCGCCAGGGCUGAUUCGUCUGAUCAGGCCGUGUCCCUUCCUCCGUCACCGCUCCGUGCGCACCCUCCGGAGAGCUGCGCACUGUGGAAGAGGACGACCACUCGCCACAGAGGAGGGCCGGUCUGCGCUCACGGGUUCCCGAGUAGCAGCGCUCCCCUGCUGGAACCUCCAAGCCAGCUCUCAGGAGUCGGCAACACGGAGAAGGAAAGGCACGUUCCCAAGGACA